UGGAAUUUAGCUCAGUAGGUAGAGCGUCUGGCUGUUAACCAGAAUGUCGCAGGUUCGAGCCCUGUAGUUCCAG
This 73-nucleotide transfer RNA is filed under the name Parvimonas micra. Its description in RNAcentral is "tRNA-Asn". It matches the Rfam family "tRNA". Rfam says of the family: Transfer RNA (tRNA) molecules are approximately 80 nucleotides in length. Their secondary structure includes four short double-helical elements and three loops (D, anti-codon, and T loops). Further hydrogen bonds mediate the characteristic L-shaped molecular structure. tRNAs have two regions of fundamental functional importance: the anti-codon, which is responsible for specific mRNA codon recognition, and the 3' end, to which the tRNAs corresponding amino acid is attached (by aminoacyl-tRNA synthetases). tRNAs cope with the degeneracy of the genetic code in two manners: having more than one tRNA (with a specific anti-codon) for a particular amino acid; and 'wobble' base-pairing, i.e. permitting non-standard base-pairing at the 3rd anti-codon position. The record is from RNAcentral. Lineage: Bacteria; Bacillati; Bacillota; Tissierellia; Tissierellales; Peptoniphilaceae.